RNAcentral lists this long non-coding RNA (511 nucleotides) under Elaeis guineensis (African oil palm). Its description in RNAcentral is "long non-coding RNA (EGUI_LNC075466)". Lineage: Eukaryota; Viridiplantae; Streptophyta; Magnoliopsida; Arecales; Arecaceae. The record is from RNAcentral.
UGGGGUCGUCGGUCGUGGACGGGUCGAGUCAGCGGGCUCCUUCAAAAUUUUUCGAGAUACUUUCGACGUAUGAGGGCCUCGAUUUCAUCAUUGAGUUGAAUGCACUGUUCGAUGUUAUGGCCGUGGCCCCGAUGAAAUCAGCAGUAUUUUCAUCGGUCGAAGCCCUUUGCCUUCAAAGGCGGAGGCCGUCGUAGAUAUUCCUCUCCUUCGAUCUCCAUUAAAAUCUGCGCACGAGGAGCAGAGAGAGGAGUAUAGGAGUCAUACCUGUGAUGCAUCGGCCUCGGACUCUGCCGUUGGAGUGAUCUCGGGCUCUAUGUUGGGGUGAGACUUGUUUGUCGGUCGGGGGCCCGCUAGGCUCGGCAGGAGCCCGACCUUUCCUUCAUUUCUCCUUUGGGCCCUUGGCCUCGGUCAGACGUCGGUCGGAAGCUCCUUCGUCUGCACGUAUGUAUUUGUAUGCGUGCUCCAGUAGUUCGGUAUAUGUUCGGGGGAGGAUCUUGUCCAAGGAGUUUGU